Molecule: ribosomal RNA, 1293 nt
Filed under: uncultured archaeon
Lineage: Archaea
Description: partial 16S ribosomal RNA
Rfam family: Archaeal small subunit ribosomal RNA
Source: RNAcentral
AUUCCGGUUGAUCCUGCCAGAGGCACUGCUAUGGGGGUCCGACUAAGCCAUGCGAGUCAUGGGGGUGUCCCUUCUGGGCACCGGGGCGGACGGCUCAGUAACACGUCGGUAACCUACCCUCGGGAGGGGGAUAACCCGGGAAACUGGGGCUAAUCCCCCAUAGGUGUGGGGUACUGGAAGGUCCCCACACAGAAAGGGGCUCUGCCCGCCCGAGGAUGGGCCGGCGGCGAUUAAGUANUUGGUGGGGUAACGGCCCACCAAGCCGAAAUCGUACGGGCCAUAAAAAUGGAACCCCGAAAUGAAAACUGAAAAACGGGUCCAGGCCCNAAGGGGCGCAGCAGGCGCGAAACGCGGCCCGAGUGGUGGCCGCUCAUUAUUGGGCCUAAAGCGUCCGUAGCCGGGCCCGUAAGUCCCUGGCGAAAUCCCACGGCUCAACCGUGGGGCUUGCUGGGGAUACUGCGGGCCUUGGGACCGGGAGAGGCGGGGGGUACCCUGGGGUAGGGGUGAAAUCCUAUAAUCCCAGGGGGACCGCCAGUGGGAAGGCGCCCCGCUGGAACGGGUCCGACGGUGAGGGACGAAGCCCAGGGGAGCGAACCGGAUUAGAUACCCGGGUAGUCCUGGCUGUAAAGGAUGCGGGCUAGGUGCCGGGCGAACUCCGAGCUCGUCRGCUCCCGUAGGGAAGCCGUUAAGCCCGCCGCCCGGGGAGUACGGCCGCAAGGCUGAAACUUAAAAGAAUUGGCGGGGGACACUACAAGGGGUGGAGCGUGCGGUUUAAUUGGAUUCAACGCCGGGAACCUCACCGGGGGCGACGGCAGGAUGAAGGCCAGGCUGAAGGUCUUGCCGGACACGCCGAGAGGAGGUGCAUGGCCGCCGUCAGCUCGUACCGUGAGGCGUCCACUUAAGUGUGGUAACGAGCGAGACCCGCGCCCCCAGUUGCCAGUCCCUCCCGAUGGGGGGGAGGCACUCUGGGGGGACCGCCGGCGAUAAGCCGGAGGAAGGAGCGGGCGACGGUAGGUCAGUAUGCCCCGAAACCCCCGGGCUACACGCGCGCUACAAUGGGCGGGACAAUGGGAUCCGACCCCGAAAGGGGAAGGGAAUCCCCUAAACCCGCCCUCAGUUCGGAUNSCGGGCUGCAACUCGCCCGCGUGAAGCUGGAAUCCCUAGUACCCGCGUGUCAUCAUCGCGCGGCGAAUACGUCCCUGCUCCUUGCACACACCGCCCGUCACUCCAUCCCGAGCGGGGUCCGGAUGAGGCCCCGUCGCCGGUUCUGACCGGAUGGCGGGGUUGWKUCCG